GUCGUGAAGAGGGAAACAACCCAGACCGCCAGCUAAGGUCCCAAAGUCAUGGUUAAGUGGGAAACGAUGUGGGAAGGCCCAGACAGCCAGGAUGUUGGCUUAGAAGCAGCCAUCAUUUAAAGAAAGCGUAAUAGCUCACUGGUCGAGUCGGCCUGCGCGGAAGAUGUAACGGGGCUAAACCAUGCACCGAAGCUGCGGCAGCGACACUGUGUGUUGUUGGGUAGGGGAGCGUUCUGUAAGCCUGUGAAGGUGUGUCGUGAGGCAUGCUGGAGGUAUCAGAAGUGCGAAUGCUGACAUAAGUAACGAUAAAGCGGGUGAAAAGCCCGCUCGCCGGAAGACCAAGGGUUCCUGUCCAACGUUAAUCGGGGCAGGGUGAGUCGACCCCUAAGGCGAGGCCGAAAGGCGUAGUCGAUGGGAAACGGGUUAAUAUUCCCGUACUUGGUGUUACUGCGAAGGGGGGACGGAGAAGGCUAUGUUGGCCGGGCGACGGUUGUCCCGGUUUAAGCGUGUAGGUGUGUGUUCCAGGUAAAUCCGGUUCACUUUAACACUGAGGCGUGACGACGAGGCACUACGGUGCUGAAGCAACAAAUGCCCUGCUUCCAGGAAAAGCCUCUAAGCAUCAGGUAACAUCAAAUCGUACCCCAAACCGACACAGGUGGUCAGGUAGAGAAUACCAAGGCGCUUGAGAGAACUCGGGUGAAGGAACUAGGCAAAAUGGUGCCGUAACUUCGGGAGAAGGCACGCUGACACGUAGGUGAAGUGAUUUACUCAUGGAGCUGAAGUCAGUCGAAGAUACCAGCUGGCUGCAACUGUUUAUUAAAAACACAGCACUGUGCAAACACGAAAGUGGACGUAUACGGUGUGACGCCUGCCCGGUGCCGGAAGGUUAAUUGAUGGGGUCAGCGCAAGCGAAGCUCCUGAUCGAAGCCCCGGUAAACGGCGGCCGUAACUAUAACGGUCCUAAGGUAGCGAAAUUCCUUGUCGGGUAAGUUCCGACCUGCACGAAUGGCGUAAUGAUGGCCAGGCUGUCUCCACCCGAGACUCAGUGAAAUUGAACUCGCUGUGAAGAUGCAGUGUACCCGCGGCAAGACGGAAAGACCCCGUGAACCUUUACUAUAGCUUGACACUGAACAUUGAGCCUUGAUGUGUAGGAUAGGUGGGAGGCUUUGAAGUGUGGACGCCAGUCUGCAUGGAGCCGACCUUGAAAUACCACCCUUUAAUGUUUGAUGUUCUAACGUGGACCCGUUACCCGGGUUGCGGACAGUGUCUGGUGGGUAGUUUGACUGGGGCGGUCUCCUCCUAAAGAGUAACGGAGGAGCACGAAGGUUGGCUAAUCCUGGUCGGACAUCAGGAGGUUAGUGCAAUGGCAUAAGCCAGCUUGACUGCGAGCGUGACGGCGCGAGCAGGUGCGAAAGCAGGUCAUAGUGAUCCGGUGGUUCUGAAUGGAAGGGCCAUCGCUCAACGGAUAAAAGGUACUCCGGGGAUAACAGGCUGAUACCGCCCAAGAGUUCAUAUCGACGGCGGUGUUUGGCACCUCGAUGUCGGCUCAUCACAUCCUGGGGCUGAAGUAGGUCCCAAGGGUAUGGCUGUUCGCCAUUUAAAGUGGUACGCGAGCUGGGUUUAGAACGUCGUGAGACAGUUCGGUCCCUAUCUGCCGUGGGCGCUGGAGAACUGAGGGGGGCUGCUCCUAGUACGAGAGGACCGGAGUGGACGCAUCACUGGUGUUCGGGUUGUCAUGCCAAUGGCACUGCCCGGUAGCUAAAUGCGGAAGAGAUAAGUGCUGAAAGCAUCUAAGCACGAAACUUGCCCCGA
RNAcentral lists this ribosomal RNA (1812 nucleotides) under Salmonella enterica. Its description in RNAcentral is "partial 23S ribosomal RNA". It matches the Rfam family "Bacterial large subunit ribosomal RNA", at positions 1007 to 2802 of the family's 2925-position model. RNAcentral also lists the same sequence under 1 other name. Lineage: Bacteria; Pseudomonadati; Pseudomonadota; Gammaproteobacteria; Enterobacterales; Enterobacteriaceae. The record is from RNAcentral.